This is a long non-coding RNA of Girardinichthys multiradiatus, 1140 nucleotides long. RefSeq lists it as uncharacterized. NCBI's taxonomy places the organism in Eukaryota, Metazoa, Chordata, Actinopteri, Cyprinodontiformes, Goodeidae. The transcript has 2 exons. The record is from RefSeq and is a predicted model, not a curated record.
CCCUAGCCUGACACCUUCCUCUGUGAGGACCUCUGGUCCCUCUCCAUCCUCUGUGAGGACCCCUAGCUUGACACCUUCCUCUGGUCCCUCUUCAUCCUCUGUGAGGACCCCUAGCUUGACACCUUCCUCUGGUCCCUCUCCAUCCUCUGUGAGAACCCCUAGCCUGGCACCUUCCUCUGUGAGGACUUCUGGUCCCUCUUCAUCCUCUGUGAGGACCCCUAGCCUGGCUUCAUCUUCCACAACACCGACACACAUCUGCCAGACAGUUUCACCUGAGGAGCCUGUAGCAUGUGUGCUACAGUCAGAUGCAGGUGGUGAUGCAGGACCUGGCUGGUUGCCGAGUGAGAUGAGGAAGACCAUUCCUGUACAGGACCAGAGAUGGAUUGGAAAUACUCUCUUUCAUGCCGGCAAAGUGAACCCAGAUUUGAAGUUGUGGUAUGAGCCUCCUUUACCAGCCCUCAUCUACCACCUGGUACCAACACCGAUCGUUUUUUACCCACCGGCUUCUGGUGUGGAUCCCCAUCAUCAGUGGAAAAUUAGGGCGUUCUGCCAAGCUUGUGGGAAGCAUCUUAGGUGGGCUGGUAUUCACAAGAGGGCUCGGAAGGUUCUGGACAUUGAUAGGUAUUACCUGCUGGUGACAGAGACACUCAGGUGCAAUUGCAUAAUAAAAGAGUUAAAAAGCAGGAGACUGUUGUGGUGCCACAAGGAUUAAACCUUCCCAGCCGUUUUCUGAUGAUGGCUCCAAUGGCCUCUCAGGUGCCUGUUCUCAACAGUGCCAAUUUUUCUGGACCUGCUACUCUGGCUCCUGCUCUGGGUCCAUUACAUCCUCCUACUCUGGCUCCCACUAAAGGACCCUGAAAACUGACCCACUGCACCACACAUGCAAAACAUGUGGGCAGUUUAGAAUUGCUGAGACAGGACACAGAGGACAUAUUUACUGUCCCUCCAAUGAAAACAUGACAAAAAAGCUGUGGCUAGAACAAAUAAAGAAGCAAAAAUAAAUAUGAAUCUGUUUCUCUUUGUCUUGUUUUAAAAAAGAAAGCUUUUACAAACAGUUUUAUCGUGUACAGUUACUCCUGUUUCCUGGUUCUCACUGUUUUUUUAAAUUGUUGAAUAAUAAAUAUUUGGUUCUUUAAAACA